UACGUAGGUGGCAAGCGUUGUCCGGAAUUAUUGGGCGUAAAGCGCGCGCAGGCGGUCCUUUAAGUCUGAUGUGAAAGCCCACGGCUCAACCGUGGAGGGUCAUUGGAAACUGGAGGACUUGAGUACAGAAGAGGAAAGCGGAAUUCCACGUGUAGCGGUGAAAUGCGUAGAUAUCUGGAGGAAUACCGGUGGCGAAGGCGGCAUCCUGGACCGGCAUUGACGCUGAGGAGCGAAAGCCAGGGGAGCAAACGGG
This 253-nucleotide ribosomal RNA is filed under the name uncultured bacterium. Its description in RNAcentral is "partial 16S ribosomal RNA". It matches the Rfam family "Bacterial small subunit ribosomal RNA", at positions 524 to 776 of the family's 1533-position model. The record is from RNAcentral.